ACGAAGGCAUCCGAACGGGAUUAAAGAUUUAUCGGUGAUGGAUGGGGAUGCGUCUGAUUAGCUUGUUGGCGGGGUAACGGCCCACCAAGGCAACGAUCAGUAGGGGUUCUGAGAGGAAGGUCCCCCACAUUGGAACUGAGACACGGUCCAAACUCCUACGGGAGGCAGCAGUGAGGAAUAUUGGUCAAUGGGCGAGAGCCUGAACCAGCCAAGUAGCGUGCAGGACGGCGGCCCUAUGGGUUGUAAACUGCUUUUUAUAAGGGAAUAAAGUGAGUCUCGUGAGACUUUUUGCAUGUACCUUAUGAAUAAGGACCGGCUAAUUCCGUG
This 327-nucleotide ribosomal RNA is filed under the name uncultured bacterium. RNAcentral's name for it is "bacterial SSU rRNA". It matches the Rfam family "Bacterial small subunit ribosomal RNA", at positions 170 to 507 of the family's 1533-position model. The record is from RNAcentral.